This 492-nucleotide ribosomal RNA is filed under the name uncultured bacterium. RNAcentral's name for it is "partial 16S ribosomal RNA". It matches the Rfam family "Bacterial small subunit ribosomal RNA", at positions 355 to 865 of the family's 1533-position model. The record is from RNAcentral.
UGGGGAAUCUUGCGCAAUGGGCGAAAGCCUGACGCAGCCAUGCCGCGUGAAUGAUGAAGGUCUUAGGAUUGUAAAAUUCUUUCACCGGGGACGAUAAUGACGGUACCCGGAGAAGAAGCCCCGGCUAACUUCGUGCCAGCAGCCGCGGUAAUACGAAGGGGGCUAGCGUUGCUCGGAAUUACUGGGCGUAAAGGGAGCGUAGGCGGACAUUUAAGUCAGGGGUGAAAUCCCGGGGCUCAACCUCGGAAUUGCCUUUGAUACUGGGUGUCUUGAGUGUGAGAGAGGUAUGUGGAACUCCGAGUGUAGAGGUGAAAUUCGUAGAUAUUCGGAAGAACACCAGUGGCGAAGGCGACAUACUGGCUCAUUACUGACGCUGAGGCUCGAAAGCGUGGGGAGCAAACAGGAUUAGAUACCCUGGUAGUCCACGCCGUAAACGAUGAUUGCUAGUUGUCGGGAUGCAUGCAUUUCGGUGACGCAGCUAACGCAUUAAGC